This 391-nucleotide ribosomal RNA is filed under the name uncultured bacterium. RNAcentral describes it as "bacterial SSU rRNA". It matches the Rfam family "Bacterial small subunit ribosomal RNA", at positions 30 to 413 of the family's 1533-position model. The record is from RNAcentral.
AGUGAACGCUGGCGGCAGGCCUAAUACAUGCAAGUCGAACGGCAGCACAGCAGAGCUUGCUCUGUGGGUGGCGAGUGGCGGACGGGUGAGGAAUACAUGGGAAUCUGCCCAGUCGUGGGGGAUAACGUAUGGAAACGUACGCUAAUACCGCAUGCGCCCUACGGGGGAAAGUCGGGGACCGCAAGGCCUGGCGCGAUUGGAUGAGCCCAUGUUCGAUUAGCUAGUUGGCGGGGUAAAGGGCCCACCAAGGCGACGAUCGAUAGCUGGUCUGAGAGGAUGAUCAGCCACACUGGAACUGAGACACGGUCCAGACUCCUACGGGAGGCAGCAGUGGGGAAUUUUGGACAAUGGGCGGAAGGCCUGAUCCAGCCAUGCCGCGUGAGUGAAGAAG